Psammomys obesus (fat sand rat) is the source of this 132-nucleotide small nucleolar RNA. RefSeq annotates it as small nucleolar RNA SNORA17. The record is from RefSeq and is a predicted model, not a curated record. NCBI's taxonomy places the organism in Eukaryota, Metazoa, Chordata, Mammalia, Rodentia, Muridae. The transcript has a single exon.
GCACUCCGUGGAGGCGCUGCAGAGGUGGCUGCUGUGUCACAGGUGCGUCAGGAGGUGGCCGAGAGGAGCGAGGCUGUGUCAAAGCUCAGUGUUCUGACCUGUGAGCAUCUGGAUGAUUAGUAGCCUGACACU